AUGCUCCUCGGCUACCUCAUCCUUGCUGCCUUCCUGAGAAAACCACUGGGAGCAAUGGGAGAGACCAGGGUCACCCAGGAAGAAGGAGAAGUCACAGUAAAGGAGAGAGAUGCCUUCCAGACCACCUGCACCUACCAGAUUAGUAACUUUUAUGGCUUGGCUUGGUACCAGCAGAAGAAAGACCAAGCCCCACAGCUCAUCUCGUAUCAGGCAGCUGCUGGCCUCAAGCAGAGUGGCCGUUUCACCACGCUGCUGAACACCACAGGGAAAUACAGCCUCCUGCAGCUGCAGGAGGUCGAGCUCUCUGACAGUGCCUUGUACCUCUGUGCUGGGCAAGACACGCUGGUGCAGGGAGCUGCCUCAGCUGUGCAAUAACACAGGGAGGGAGGGUCCCUCAGCUCUCCACUGCCAGCACUGCUUCGCCUGUGCUCCCAGAGCUCUGCACAGCAAGAUCCUCUUUCUGACAGGCCCAGUGACUCUGGACGUGGCUGAGCCUGACCAUGGGGCAGAGCCUGCUGGGAACCAGGGUGCUAGGGGCUUGCUCUCAGCCCUGCACAACCAGUGGCAGUAAAUUCCUGGGAGCCCAGGACUCAUUAGGUACAUCAAGCACCAGCCAGACCUAUGAGGAGGUCCUGAGAGCACAUUUGGAUUGAGG
Strigops habroptila (Kakapo) is the source of this 655-nucleotide non-coding RNA. NCBI's taxonomy places the organism in Eukaryota, Metazoa, Chordata, Aves, Psittaciformes, Psittacidae. The record is from the annotation of a RefSeq genome assembly.